Molecule: long non-coding RNA, 970 nt
Organism: Carassius carassius (crucian carp)
Lineage: Eukaryota; Metazoa; Chordata; Actinopteri; Cypriniformes; Cyprinidae
Exons: 2
Source: RefSeq, a predicted model, not a curated record
UUUCCCGGUACUUCCUCGCCGCCUCGUCACCUCGCUUUCUGAUUGGCUACACGCCACAGUCCACAGGCUGCGUGAUCGUUUGUCCUCGGGGGACACCACACAUGAGAAGAAAUCGGGCCAAAUAAAUCCAACAUGUUGGAUAUCCCCGAUUUGAGAUCGGAGCGGUCCCAACGUCCUUCCGAGCAGAGGAAAGCAGUCUUAACACACCACACACGGCAGGAAUAUCUGAUCAGAUUAUUUUACGAUAAUCGGAGCAUCCUUAAGAUGUCGGAAGGUGUCAAUCGGGGCUAAAAUCGGCCUAAUUAUCCUGCCGUGUGAACCAGCCUUAAGACGCUCGGGAGAAAACAAACACAUAACUUCAUAAUCAUACUUACAGGUUGUGAUUCGGAGAUGCUUGUUGGUCCAAAUAAAGUUUGUAAUGAACCCUCUUUUAUGGCCAAACGCUUUGAAAAUCCCGCCUUGAACUCACCGAGAUUAGAAAAGCAGUCAUCAGUGAAAUGUUGUGAACACAACAAAAGGGAUUUGUUGUACUGCUCUGGUAUUGUGGUAAAAAUGAAUUUUAGCCAUUGUUUCUUCUGAUCUUCAUUCUUUGGCAGUGAAAAUAAAACAAACUUGCCUUUACAAUUAAAAACACACUCCUCUCCUCGACAUGAUGCUAUCACACCAACUACUAACCAAAGCGUCUGUGUGGGGGGUGGGGCAGGUCAGAGUUUUGUUUCUCCCCAGACGGUAGGCGGAGAUUAUUAUGCAAAGUGUUCUCGUUACGUACAAAGAGAUGGGCAAAAGAUUUGAAAUCUAUAACGACUCGUUUCAGCGAUUCAGAGUCGACUCCUUACUUUAGAAGCCAAUAACUUUAUAAAUCGUGUACUUUUUGGUUUAAUUACUUUGCACAUUGUUUACACUGAUGGACAGCUACAUCAUACACUGUAAUACAGGUAAUUUUUGAUUUCCCAUCUGUGUGGCUCUUUAA